Molecule: long non-coding RNA, 3683 nt
Filed under: Podarcis lilfordi (Lilford's wall lizard)
Lineage: Eukaryota; Metazoa; Chordata; Lepidosauria; Squamata; Lacertidae
Source: RNAcentral
GGAAACUGGAAAGACUUCAAAGAUUUAUAAGUCAGGCUGGGGCUUUGCCCAGGCAAUAGCAGUGUUUCCUGGCAGUGACCCUCAUACAUAACAUGAUGGCUAUGGUAAUCUAAGAGCACACUCAAUGGAAGUUUCAUCUCAUAUUUAGCAUUUCUUCCAAUGGAGGUGAUGGGGUGACUGUGGGGGAACAAUGCUGGCUUCCCACAUGUGGGCAUGCUGGGGAAAAGUUGAACUCACAAAGUUCUGCCUAUGUAUCCAACUGCUGCUGACUUGUGAACAUACCAAAGUGUAAAAUGUUGUUUCUAGAUGAAAGUCAAGGUGGGAAAUAGGUAAACAGAGAUUGCUCAGAGAAAUUAGGCUGAGAUAUUGCAUUCUGCUCUCAUGCCAGUACUGAGCAAGAGGAAGGCUGCUUGUGGAAAAUGAGGCCCUGUGUUUGUGUGUGCCCACGAAUAUGCACAUAUGCAAUGUAUUACCUGUAUAGAUUUUCCUGUUUCCAGCAUAAUAGUCUCUCUGUUAUGAACUCACUGAGGAAUCCCCUGCUUCAUCCUAAAUAUAUGAGUUCCAGGCCUGAUUCUGACAGGAGAGUGCCUCCAGGGGAAUAUGCAGUGGGAUUUGCAUGUGCUUUACAGACAAAAACAGAAAUAAAGAGAAACCAUCUGUGCAACUCAAAAAAUGUUCAUUAUUGUUUUUUGAAAAUUGUUUCCUCUUUGCCUCAUACUUAUGCUUCUCCUCUUUCCUCAUCUCCUCUGAUUCAGUAUGUUCUUGAAACAGCUCUUGCAUUCCCUACUCCCUUCUACAUCAACAAUAUUGCAACAUGAAAAACGUUUCCAGUUUUAUAAAGAGCUGUGGAAAAUGUCCUUUAAAGCUCACUCUUAAACAGAAAGAAAAUUUAAUACUGUCUGCUUAAUUUCUGCAGUUCCUCCCAGUCAAGUUCUUACUCAUUUUCCCCCAUCCUCUUCUUCAUUCUCCAAGAAGGAGCGAAGUGCAGCUCUGAAUUGCGUAAUGCAAUUGCAGUGUUGGUAUAAGAUCUACAUUAAUGGCUACAAGAUAAUCUGCCAUUUCAUUUUCUUUAAUCACAUGAAUACAAACACAUGUGUGUGCAUUGAUCCUACACAUUUCUACUUGUGAGAAAGUCUUACUGGGUUCAGUAGUGCUUACUUCCAUGCAAACAUCUAUGGAAUUCCAAACAAAGCCACUUUAGUCCUGCGAAUCCCACACCCCAGAUCAGCAGAAUCUCUCUCUCUUUGACUUUUCAAUCUCCUUGUUUUACUGGUGCGUGGGUAUUUUCCUAAUAAAUGUAUAAGCAAACAGGAUCACUAUAAGCAUAAAUGUUUCUCAGCCAGUUCCUUGUUUUGAGUGCAAGGAGAAAAAGUACCUGCCUUUUCAAAUAUCACAUUCAACAUCUAAGGGCUCACAUUUCCAGUUGUAGUAGCACUGGAUUUGGAGCAUGGAAAGCAAUGUGGGAACUUGCCCUUGUGUAGCAGCUAAUUGGAGUCCUCUUGACAUAUGCCAGAACUGGAGGACAGUGCAGGACGGUAAAGAUAGAAGGUGUUAGCCACAGCCAUGGUACACUGUCUUGAGUUGAAGGUACUCUGUACUGUUCUUGGCAGAGCUAUCCAGAAAGCAUUUACAAAUGGCACAAAGAUGUGCAUGCAAGGGAACUGUUUUUACAGUCCUUUAUAUAUACCUGCACAUUACUACUCUCUCUCUCAACAUCAAUCUUAGUAGAGUCAUAAAAUUCACCUUAGAGAAAAUAACUAUACUUCAAAAAAGGAAGAAUUUACCUUAAAGAAUAUAUAUAUAUAUCAAAAAAUGCAAGCACCUGCUGUGGUUCAGCAACAUAGGUUAAGAUCUUGAUGAAGGACUCAUUCCUAAAAAAGAAAAAUGUUCUUUCCCAGAACCAGGUGCUAGCUUCUCCAGUAUGGUUGAUUUAUUGGAAGAGGAGUGAUACGUACAACACAUUGAAGCAAAUGUGAGCUCUGUGACAGGUCUAAUCUCUGCUCAGUUGAGCUCUGUGCUGAGAUUACCAUGUGCAUUCAUGACUCUGAGAAGAUGAUGUUUCUUCUGCAUCUGCAGGUGCCGUUUUGCUGGGUCCGUCCAUGACUUGCCCUGCUUUAGUUCUUCUCAAAUUCUGGGUUGUCGAUGCUCCCGCUGAGUCUCCUUUCAUGCAUCAGUAAAUGUUAUCAUAUUUCAGAGUAUAAGACUACAAGUCUUGCAAUGAGCUUGCCAGCUAAAGAGCCUAGGGAUUCAGAUAGAUAUUUGAAUUAGAUUUGCUCGUGUGAGAUUUGUAGAGGGCCAUAGGAUUUAUUGAGGAGUUUGCAUAUUGAUUGUCUGAAUUGUGGCUGCCAGCUACUGCAGUUCAAAGCACUUAAUUUAGCAUGGGCUUGGACUCUCUGUUCUCCCAGUGCACCAUGUCCACCUGUGCCUGCAUUUUCUGGCCUGUACUCUCCUCUUGUUCUUAGGUUUCAUAUUUGCUUUUAUUAUUCUAAUUCUAGUGAGAGCUUUUUGCCAGCAUCUAAGCCCUUUACAGGAAUUGCAGUUAUUGUGUUCCACUGUGCUAUAUAUUGAAGGUUUCUGGUUUAAUUUAGUGGAACUUAAAAUCAAUUGAAAGGGAAAUUAAAAUAUUAACAUAUUGUAGAUGGCUAGCUUGAUUAAAAUACUGGUGGUGCCUAUGUUUAUUAGAGUACAUUAGUGGAAAGAAUUAUUGAAUCAGCUUUUCAGCAGAGUGCUUUACAAACAUUUAGUCAAUUAAGCUUCACAGAGCCACCUUGUCGGGUUGUCCACAUUCACCUUUGUCAUUUAUGGAUGUAAGAAGGAACUGAGGUAUGGUUAUUAGGCAACAGCACAUUCCAGCCACAAGUGCCAUUGCCCAAGCAUGGUCACAUGUUGCAUUACUAACGAUGGUAUUGGCAUCCUGCUAAGGAGCAUAAAAUAUAUCAUCACAUAACCAAAAUGCAAAGCAAAAGUGAUUUUAUUACAAACAAGAUACCUGAUGCAACAUUUUAACAAACUAAAGACCUGUAGGCAAAGAUUUAGCAGAUUAAUUCAAGCCAAUACAGUCGUACCUCAUGUUGCGUUAGGUUCAUGUUGCAUCUUUGCCGAAUGCGGCAAACCCGGAAGUGUAUACUUCUGCGUUUCGCCGCGCGCACGCGCACAGAAGUAUUCUGCGUGCUUCGCAGAUGCGCAGAAGUGCUCUAUCGUGCAGAACGCUUGCGCAGAAGUUUCACUCUAGUUGCAGACUUUUCAGGGUGCAAACGGCACCCCAGAAUGGAUCAUGUCCACAAUUAGAGGUACCACUGUAUGUAGAAUUCCCCUCUUCCUCUCUCCAAAUUUCCCUUUCUACUGUUCCUUGAGUUUUGAUGCCUCUUGGGGAUUAUCAAGUGCAGGCCCUGAGAUGAUUUCUGUCCUUUUAAGAGUUUAAAAUACAGCCUUCCCAUUAUUAGUAGCAUUAUUAUUUAUAAACUGCUUAUUAUGCAAUGGUUAGCCUGUUGAGCUGUGACCUCGGAGACCAGGGUUCAAAUCCCCAUUCAGUCAUGAAGUUCACUAGGUGACCUUGAGCCAGUCACUGUCUGUCAGCCUGACCUACCUCACAGGGUUGCUGUUGGGCUUUUAUGAAGAGAGGGAGAGCCUCACAUUGAGUUUGUUGGGCAAACAAAUAAUUUCACAAUACCAAAGUGGUAUGC